AUGCGAGGAGAGCGGCUUUUGGUUCUAUUUUCUACUGUCUGCUUCUUAGCUGAAGUCAUGAUGGACCAGUCACUUUUGGAAAUUCAUGGAGCCCUGAAUACUUCAGUGCUUCUCCCUGGACAGGAUAUUGCUCUAUCUUCUGUCUUCAAUGUGGAAUGGAGAAUCAAGCAGUCCCAAGAGGUGUUGAUCCUGUCCUUCUCUCCCUCAUCCAAGAACUUCUACACUAAUGAAGCUUACUGGCAGCGAAUCUUCUUCUCUCCCACCAACUUCUCCCUCCAGUUUCACAGUUUGCAGUGCACAGAUGAAGGAUUCUAUACCUUGGCCAUCCAGCUCCAAGAGAAGUUCCAAGUGAACAACUACAGGACUUGGCUGACAGUGAGCAAGUCUACUUAUGAAAACAUGCGUUCAACUCAGCCACCCCUUUAA
This 426-nucleotide long non-coding RNA is filed under the name Ornithorhynchus anatinus (platypus). RNAcentral describes it as "lncRNA (ENSOANG00000031819.2)". The record is from RNAcentral. Lineage: Eukaryota; Metazoa; Chordata; Mammalia; Monotremata; Ornithorhynchidae.